Penaeus vannamei (Pacific white shrimp) is the source of this 967-nucleotide non-coding RNA. The record is from RefSeq and is a predicted model, not a curated record. Lineage: Eukaryota; Metazoa; Arthropoda; Malacostraca; Decapoda; Penaeidae.
UCUGCCACGGCCACUGGGCUGAGGGCGGCUCCGUCUUCGUCGUGGCCUCCCCCCAUGACCGCCCCAGCCACCGCCUCUGCCUCACCGCGACCUCCAUCACCAACAACAACAGCAACAACAACAACAACGGCAAGAACAACAGCAGCAGCAAGACGCUCCAGGUCACGGCGCAUGCGCACUCCUGCCCGCGGCGGCACGUGCCUCCCACCACGUCUCUGAGUCUGAACCUGACUGCGCAAGGUGAAUGCACUGUGGCAAGCAGCAGCAGCCGUCUCUCUCCCGCCCAACUGUUGCUCUCCAUUCUCGCUGUUCUGUGCUACGUCGUACGUCUGGAAGGCGCGGGCUGCUGCAGCGAAGCGAAGGGUUCCAGAUGAAGUUCUUGUACGGCAUCCGCAGACGAGGGUCUUUCAACCUCUCCCACUGUAAUCUAAGAGAAUCAUUUGUAUCCAAAAGUUUUUUUUUCUCUUAUUUAUAUAUAUAUGAAAGAAAUCUUUGUUAUCAUGAUUGGAGGACCACUGAUAGUCUUAUUUUAAGCUUAAAAAAAGUAUAUAUGUGGAUGUACUGGUACGAGAAGAGAGAGUAGCCCCUAUUACGCCACAGCAUGUUAGUCGUCGCACCGUCAUAAUGAGGAAUAGUCUGUGACUAUUUUUAUUCAAGAAUUUUAUAUGUAUUGCAUAAUGAUAUAUAUUCUUUUAAAUGUUCCUGACUAACUCGAAAGCAGUUGAGGUAUAUUUUGAUAACCAUAGGUAGAUAGCACAACCGUACAGAUCCGGUAGACGGAGAGGAUAAAGCGCGAGAGAGGGAAAAAAGAGAGAACGAGAGAGAGAAUAAGCUAACAGAGGGUUUUGUAUGAUGCCUAUACGUCCUACAUUUAUAGAAGCACAUGAACAAUAAUAAAAAAGCAGAUGCAUUUGUACACCUAGUCAAGGGAGGUCAGGAGCUGGCCGAGUCCUCUUUAAAAAAAAAG